This 343-nucleotide unclassified non-coding RNA is filed under the name soil metagenome. RNAcentral describes it as "partial contains 5.8S ribosomal RNA, internal transcribed spacer 2, and large subunit ribosomal RNA". The stretch from base 1 to 120 matches the Rfam family "5.8S ribosomal RNA", at positions 35 to 154 of the family's 154-position model. The record is from RNAcentral.
GAUGAAGAACGCAGCGAAAUGCGAUAAGUAAUGUGAAUUGCAGAAUUCAGUGAAUCAUCGAAUCUUUGAACGCACAUUGCGCCCGCUAGUAUUCUGGCGGGCAUGCCUGUCCGAGCGUCAUUUCAACCCUCAAGCCCCCGGGCUUGGUGUUGGGGAUCGGCGAGCCUCCGCGCCCGCCGUCCCCUAAAUCUAGUGGCGGUCUCGCUGUAGCUUCCUCUGCGUAGUAGCACACCUCGCACUGGGAAACAGCGCGGCCACGCCGUUAAACCCCCAACUUCUGAACGUUUGACCUCGGAUCAGGUAGGAAUACCCGGUGAACUUAAGCAUAUCAAUAAGCGGAGGA